GCUCUUUCAUCUCUAUGUCCCACGUGUC
This 28-nucleotide non-coding RNA is filed under the name Homo sapiens (human). Lineage: Eukaryota; Metazoa; Chordata; Mammalia; Primates; Hominidae. The record is from RNAcentral.